RNAcentral lists this long non-coding RNA (229 nucleotides) under Lathyrus oleraceus (garden pea). RNAcentral's name for it is "Pisum sativum (pea) long non-coding RNA (PSAT_LNC036968)". Lineage: Eukaryota; Viridiplantae; Streptophyta; Magnoliopsida; Fabales; Fabaceae. The record is from RNAcentral.
UUUUGAGCCAUAAAUCCUUUAUUUCUUAAACCGUGAACCAUCCCACAUUACAACCCUCAAAAGACCUAAUUGAAGCAAGGUCUAUUUUGAAAGCAUAUUGCAUUGGAGCUUGUGUCGAAACUGACUCCUAUUUUUUUUGCUAAGUAUCAGUAUGACUUUUGUAACCAGUGAUCCAUUCACUCUAUGUCAUCUUUUCAGUGGAUAUACUUGGAUUUCUAAAACUGACAUA